Molecule: ribosomal RNA, 1627 nt
Filed under: Klebsiella pneumoniae
Lineage: Bacteria; Pseudomonadati; Pseudomonadota; Gammaproteobacteria; Enterobacterales; Enterobacteriaceae
Description: bacterial LSU rRNA
Rfam family: Bacterial large subunit ribosomal RNA
Source: RNAcentral
GGGUGAAAAGCCCGCUCGCCGGAAGACCAAGGGUUCCUGUCCAACGUUAAUCGGGGCAGGGUGAGUCGACCCCUAAGGCGAGGCCGAAAGGCGUAGUCGAUGGGAAACAGGUUAAUAUUCCUGUACUUGGUGUUACUGCGAAGGGGGGACGGAGAAGGCUAUGUUAGCCGGGCGACGGUUGUCCCGGUUUAAGCAUGUAGGCUGAUUGUCCAGGCAAAUCCGGAUAAUCAAGGCUGAGGUGUGAUGACGAGGCACUACGGUGCUGAAGUAACAAAUGCCCUGCUUCCAGGAAAAGCCUCUAAGCAUCAGGUAACAUUAAAUCGUACCCCAAACCGACACAGGUGGUCAGGUAGAGAAUACCAAGGCGCUUGAGAGAACUCGGGUGAAGGAACUAGGCAAAAUGGUGCCGUAACUUCGGGAGAAGGCACGCUGGUGUGUAGGUGAAGUCCCUGCGGAUGGAGCUGAGACCAGUCGAAGAUACCAGCUGGCUGCAACUGUUUAUUAAAAACACAGCACUGUGCAAACACGAAAGUGGACGUAUACGGUGUGACGCCUGCCCGGUGCCGGAAGGUUAAUUGAUGGGGUUAUCCGUAAGGAGAAGCUCUUGAUCGAAGCCCCGGUAAACGGCGGCCGUAACUAUAACGGUCCUAAGGUAGCGAAAUUCCUUGUCGGGUAAGUUCCGACCUGCACGAAUGGCGUAAUGAUGGCCAGGCUGUCUCCACCCGAGACUCAGUGAAAUUGAACUCGCUGUGAAGAUGCAGUGUACCCGCGGCAAGACGGAAAGACCCCGUGAACCUUUACUAUAGCUUGACACUGAACAUUGAGCCUUGAUGUGUAGGAUAGGUGGGAGGCUUUGAAGCGUGGACGCCAGUCUGCGUGGAGCCAACCUUGAAAUACCACCCUUUAAUGUUUGAUGUUCUAACGUUGGCCCCUGACCGGGGUUGCGGACAGUGUCUGGUGGGUAGUUUGACUGGGGCGGUCUCCUCCCAAAGCGUAACGGAGGAGCACGAAGGUUAGCUAAUCCUGGUCGGACAUCAGGAGGUUAGUGCAAUGGCAUAAGCUAGCUUGACUGCGAGCGUGACGGCGCGAGCAGGUGCGAAAGCAGGUCAUAGUGAUCCGGUGGUUCUGAAUGGAAGGGCCAUCGCUCAACGGAUAAAAGGUACUCCGGGGAUAACAGGCUGAUACCGCCCAAGAGUUCAUAUCGACGGCGGUGUUUGGCACCUCGAUGUCGGCUCAUCACAUCCUGGGGCUGAAGUAGGUCCCAAGGGUAUGGCUGUUCGCCAUUUAAAGUGGUACGCGAGCUGGGUUUAGAACGUCGUGAGACAGUUCGGUCCCUAUCUGCCGUGGGCGCUGGAGAAUUGAGGGGGGCUGCUCCUAGUACGAGAGGACCGGAGUGGACGCAUCACUGGUGUUCGGGUUGUCAUGCCAAUGGCACUGCCCGGUAGCUAAAUGCGGAAGAGAUAAGUGCUGAAAGCAUCUAAGCACGAAACUUGCCCCGAGAUGAGUUCUCCCUGAGACUUUAAGUCUCCUGAAGGAACGUUAAAGACGAUGACGUUGAUAGGCCGGGUGUGUAAGCGCAGCGAUGCGUUGAGCUAACCGGUACUAAUGAACCGUGAGGCUUAACCUU